Molecule: ribosomal RNA, 465 nt
Filed under: uncultured bacterium
Lineage: Bacteria
Description: partial 16S ribosomal RNA
Rfam family: Bacterial small subunit ribosomal RNA
Source: RNAcentral
AUGAACGCUGGCGGCGUGCUUAACACAUGCAAGUCGAACGAUGAAGCCCAGCUUGCUGGGUGGAUUAGUGGCGAACGGGUGAGUAACACGUGAGUAACCUGCCCUUAACUCUGGGAUAAGCCUGGGAAACUGGGUCUAAUACCGGAUAGGAGCGCCUACCGCAUGGUGGGUGUUGGAAAGAUUUAUCGGUUUUGGAUGGACUCGCGGCCUAUCAGCUUGUUGGUGAGGUAAUGGCUCACCAAGGCGACGACGGGUAGCCGGCCUGAGAGGGUGACCGGCCACACUGGGACUGAGGCACGGCCCAGACUCCUACGGGAGGCAGCAGUGGGGAAUAUUGCACAAUGGGCGAAAGCCUGAUGCAGCGACGCCGCGUGAGGGAUGACGGCCUUCGGGUUGUAAACCUCUUUCAGUAGGGAAGAAGCGAAAGUGACGGUACCUGCAGAAGAAGCACCGGCUAACUACGUG